This 23-nucleotide non-coding RNA is filed under the name Mus musculus (house mouse). Lineage: Eukaryota; Metazoa; Chordata; Mammalia; Rodentia; Muridae. The record is from RNAcentral.
UGAAUUGUGGUCUCCCAAGAAGA